This 77-nucleotide transfer RNA is filed under the name Mycobacteroides abscessus. RNAcentral describes it as "tRNA-Ile". It matches the Rfam family "tRNA". From Rfam's summary of the family: Transfer RNA (tRNA) molecules are approximately 80 nucleotides in length. Their secondary structure includes four short double-helical elements and three loops (D, anti-codon, and T loops). Further hydrogen bonds mediate the characteristic L-shaped molecular structure. tRNAs have two regions of fundamental functional importance: the anti-codon, which is responsible for specific mRNA codon recognition, and the 3' end, to which the tRNAs corresponding amino acid is attached (by aminoacyl-tRNA synthetases). tRNAs cope with the degeneracy of the genetic code in two manners: having more than one tRNA (with a specific anti-codon) for a particular amino acid; and 'wobble' base-pairing, i.e. permitting non-standard base-pairing at the 3rd anti-codon position. Lineage: Bacteria; Bacillati; Actinomycetota; Actinomycetes; Mycobacteriales; Mycobacteriaceae. The record is from RNAcentral.
CGCAUUGUGGCGCAGUUGGUUAGCGCGCCGACCUGAUAAGUCGGAGGCCGCAGGUUCAAUCCCUGCCGAUGCGACCG